CCUACGGGUGGCAGCAGUCGAGAAUCAUUCACAAUGGGGGAAACCCUGAUGGUGCGACGCCGCGUGGGGGAAUGAAGUUCUUCGGAUUGUAAACCCCUGUCAUGUGGGAGCAAAUUAAAAAGAUCGUACCACAAGAGGAAGAGACGGCUAACUCUGUGCCAGCAGCCGCGGUAAUACAGAGGUCUCAAGCGUUGUUCGGAAUCACUGGGCGUAAAGCGUGCGGAGGCUGUUUAGUAAGUCGUGUGUGAAAGGCGCGGGCUCAACCCGCGGACGACACAUGAUACUGCGAGACUAGAGUAAGGGAGGGGGAACCGGAAUUCUCGGUGUAGCAGUGAAAUGCGUAGAUAUCGAGAGGAACACUCGUGGCGAAGGCGGGUUCCUGGACAGUAACUGACGCUGAGGCACGAAGGCCAGGGGAGCGAAAGGGAUUAGAUACCCUUGUAGUC
RNAcentral lists this ribosomal RNA (446 nucleotides) under uncultured bacterium. RNAcentral's name for it is "partial 16S ribosomal RNA". It matches the Rfam family "Bacterial small subunit ribosomal RNA", at positions 338 to 795 of the family's 1533-position model. The record is from RNAcentral.